RNAcentral lists this long non-coding RNA (306 nucleotides) under Ovis aries (sheep). Its description in RNAcentral is "lncRNA (ENSOARG00000025331.1)". Lineage: Eukaryota; Metazoa; Chordata; Mammalia; Artiodactyla; Bovidae. The record is from RNAcentral.
AUGAACAAACGGAUAUCAGGUAGCAAGCUGGAGUGGAAAGAGACAACUGCAGUCCUUUUCCCCACCGUUCUUCAGUCUCACGCUUGUCGUGGCCGUGGGUGCGUCACUCCGGUCAUUUGGAUCUAUUACCUUCAUUCUCUAAAAGAGAAAUGAUACUAUUUUGGGAACAGUGUUAACAAUCUGCCUCAGAUUUCUCAAAUGAGGAAGAAAGUAUUGUGUCUACACUUUGUUCAGGGGACUUGGCCGAAGAAAGAUUUUUAGAGCUAAAGAUUCUCGGUUCUGCAUGGCAACUUUCAUCAAGAAAUG